GUUCCCAAAACCAAAUCCGC
Molecule: small nuclear RNA, 20 nt
Filed under: Arabidopsis thaliana (thale cress)
Lineage: Eukaryota; Viridiplantae; Streptophyta; Magnoliopsida; Brassicales; Brassicaceae
Description: snRNA_09841
Source: RNAcentral